GCAGGUAAUGGGGCAGCAUCCAAUCCCCAUGAUGUUCUGGAUGUUCUAACUCAGUACCGAGGUAUUUCUUGGAGUGUUGGAGGAAAUGAAAACAUUAGCACGGUCACGACACUAGCAAACAUUCUUCGUGAGUUCAACCCAUCCCUGAUAGGAUAUUCCACUGGCACUGGAACGCAAACUACAGAAAAUGCUGCUCUCAACCAAGCAGUUGCAGGGGCUCAGGCAGAGGAUGUUCCUGCACAGGUCAGAAGACUGGUGGACCGAAUGAUGAAUGACAGU
Phasianus colchicus (ring-necked pheasant) is the source of this 279-nucleotide non-coding RNA. The record is from RefSeq and is a predicted model, not a curated record. NCBI's taxonomy places the organism in Eukaryota, Metazoa, Chordata, Aves, Galliformes, Phasianidae.